Molecule: ribosomal RNA, 253 nt
Filed under: uncultured Eubacteriales bacterium
Lineage: Bacteria; Bacillati; Bacillota; Clostridia; Eubacteriales
Description: uncultured Clostridiales bacterium partial 16S ribosomal RNA
Rfam family: Bacterial small subunit ribosomal RNA
Source: RNAcentral
UACGGGGGAUGCGAGCGUUAUCCGGAUUUAUUGGGUUUAAAGGGUGCGUAGGCGGCGCUUCAGGUCAGCGGUGAAAGCCCGGGCCUCAACCCUGGGACUGCUCUGGAAACUGUAAAGCUGGAGUGCGGGAGGGGCAGGCGGAAUUCCUGGUGUAGCGGUGAAAUGCGUAGAUAUCAGGAGGAACACCGGCGGCGAAGGCGGCCUGCUGGACCGUAACUGACGUUGAGGCUCGAAAGCGUGGGGAGCAAACAGG